AAAUGAAUUGACGGGAGCCCGCACAAGCAGUGGAGUAUGUGGUUUAAUUCGAUGCAACGCGAAGAACCUUACCAGGACUUGACAUCCCAGGAAUCCGACGUAAUGGUUGGAGUGCCCCUUCGGGGGAAUCUGGUGACAGGUGGUGCAUGGUUGUCGUCAGCUCGUGUCGUGAGAUGUUGGGUUAAGUCCCGCAACGAGCGCAACCCUUACGGUUAGUUGCUACGCAAGAGCACUCUAGCCGGACUGCCGUUGACAAAACGGAGGAAGGUGGGGACGACGUCAAAUCAUCAUGCCCCUUACGUUCUGGGCUACACACGUACUACAAUGGCGUUUAACAAAGGGCAGCGAAGGCGCGAGCCGGAGCAAAUCUCCAAAAAACGUCCCAGUUCAGACUGCAGGCUGCAACUCGCCUGCACGAAGUUGGAAUUGCUAGUAAUCGCGGAUCAGCAUGCCGCGGUGAAUACGUUCCCGGGCUUUGUACACACCGCCCGU
RNAcentral lists this ribosomal RNA (492 nucleotides) under uncultured bacterium. RNAcentral's name for it is "bacterial SSU rRNA". It matches the Rfam family "Bacterial small subunit ribosomal RNA", at positions 903 to 1397 of the family's 1533-position model. The record is from RNAcentral.